GCUUUGGAGGAGCUGUAGAAGCCAAUCAAGGAGGGAUUUUUAUUGCUUCCAUGACAGGACAUAGUUAAAAUCAGGGAGAGGUGGAAGAAUUGAGUAAAACUCCUUGGGGAGAAACAAAUACAGUUCAUGGGGAAAAAAAUGGAAACAUAGCAGUGCCUUGGGACAAGAACUAUCUUCGAUAACCAAUUCUAAAACUAUUUAAAUUGCCAGAAACUGAAAGUAAUAAACUGCUAUGUGUCCGUGUUCUGGAAGAAUUUAUUCCUGAC
Molecule: long non-coding RNA, 266 nt
Organism: Sceloporus undulatus (fence lizard)
Lineage: Eukaryota; Metazoa; Chordata; Lepidosauria; Squamata; Phrynosomatidae
Exons: 3
Source: RefSeq, a predicted model, not a curated record